CCUACGGGAGGCAGCAGUGAGGAAUAUUGGUCAAUGGACGAGAGUCUGAACCAGCCAAGUAGCGUGAAGGAUGACUGCCCUAUGGGUUGUAAACUUCUUUUAUAUGGGAAUAAAAUGUUCCACGUGUGGGAUUUUGUAUGUACCAUAUGAAUAAGGAUCGGCUAACUCCGUGCCAGCAGCCGCGGUAAUACGGAGGAUCCGAGCGUUAUCCGGAUUUAUUGGGUUUAAAGGGAGCGUAGGUGGAGUGUUAAGUCAGUUGUGAAAGUUUGCGGCUCAACCGUAAAAUUGCAGUUGAAACUGGCAGUCUUGAGUACAGUAGAGGUGGGCGGAAGUCGUGGUGUAGCGGUGAAAUGCUUAGAUAUCACGAAGAACUCCGAUUGCGAAGGCAGUUCACUGGACUGCAACUGACACUGAGGCUCGAAAGUGUGGGUAUCAAACAGGAUUAGAUACCCCAGUAGUC
This 460-nucleotide ribosomal RNA is filed under the name uncultured bacterium. RNAcentral's name for it is "partial 16S ribosomal RNA". It matches the Rfam family "Bacterial small subunit ribosomal RNA", at positions 338 to 795 of the family's 1533-position model. The record is from RNAcentral.